CCUACGGGUGGCUGCAGUGGGGAAUAUUGGACAAUGGGGGGAACCCUGAUCCAGCCAUGCCGCGUGUGUGAAGAAGGCCCUCGGGUUGUAAAGCACUUUCAGUGAGGAAGAACGCCUGGUGGUUAAUACCCAUCAGGAAAGACAUCACUCACAGAAGAAGCACCGGCUAACUCCGUGCCAGCAGCCGCGGUAAUACGGAGGGUGCGAGCGUUAAUCGGAAUUACUGGGCGUAAAGCGCGCGUAGGUGGCUUGAUAAGCCGGUUGUGAAAGCCCCGGGCUCAACCUGGGAACGGCAUCCGGAACUGUCAAGCUAGAGUGCAGGAGAGGAAGGUAGAAUUCCCGGUGUAGCGGUGAAAUGCGUAGAGAUCGGGAGGAAUACCAGUGGCGAAGGCGGCCUUCUGGACUGACACUGACACUGAGGUGCGAAAGCGUGGGUAGCAAACAGGAUUAGAUACCCCAGAAGUC
This 465-nucleotide ribosomal RNA is filed under the name Vreelandella stevensii. RNAcentral describes it as "partial 16S ribosomal RNA". It matches the Rfam family "Bacterial small subunit ribosomal RNA", at positions 338 to 795 of the family's 1533-position model. The record is from RNAcentral. Lineage: Bacteria; Pseudomonadati; Pseudomonadota; Gammaproteobacteria; Oceanospirillales; Halomonadaceae.